RNAcentral lists this ribosomal RNA (315 nucleotides) under uncultured Pseudomonas sp. RNAcentral's name for it is "bacterial SSU rRNA". It matches the Rfam family "Bacterial small subunit ribosomal RNA", at positions 1 to 322 of the family's 1533-position model. Lineage: Bacteria; Pseudomonadati; Pseudomonadota; Gammaproteobacteria; Pseudomonadales; Pseudomonadaceae. The record is from RNAcentral.
ACUGGAGUUUGAUCCUGGCUCAGAUUGAACGCUGGCGGCAGGCCUAACACAUGCAAGUCGAGCGGAUGAAAGGAGCUUGCUCCUGGAUUCAGCGGCGGACGGGUGAGUAAUGCCUAGGAAUCUGCCUGGUAGUGGGGGACAACGUUUCGAAAGGAACGCUAAUACCGCAUACGUCCUACGGGAGAAAGCAGGGGACCUUCGGGCCUUGCGCUAUCAGAUGAGCCUAGGUCGGAUUAGCUAGUUGGUGAGGUAAUGGCUCACCAAGGCGACGAUCCGUAACUGGUCUGAGAGGAUGAUCAGCCACACUGGAACUGA